This 301-nucleotide ribosomal RNA is filed under the name uncultured bacterium. Its description in RNAcentral is "partial 16S ribosomal RNA". It matches the Rfam family "Bacterial small subunit ribosomal RNA", at positions 509 to 807 of the family's 1533-position model. The record is from RNAcentral.
CAGUCGCCACGGGAAUACGGAGGGUGCAAGCGUUAAUCGGAAUUACUGGGCGUAAAGCGCACGCAGGCGGUCUGACAAGUCAGAUGUGAAAUCCCCGGGCUUAACCUGGGAACUGCAUUUGAAACUGUCAGGCUGGAGUCUUGUAGAGGGGGGUAGAAUUCCAGGUGUAGCGGUGAAAUGCGUAGAGAUCUGGAGGAAUACCGGUGGCGAAGGCGGCCCCCUGGACAAAGACUGACGCUCAGGUGCGAAAGCGUGGGGAGCAAACAGGAUUAGAUACCCCUGUAGUCCCUGUCUCUUAUAC